AUCCAACUGACGAAUCCUAAAUAGGACAAAAUAUACGUCUUAGAU
This 45-nucleotide non-coding RNA is filed under the name Schistosoma mattheei. Lineage: Eukaryota; Metazoa; Platyhelminthes; Trematoda; Strigeidida; Schistosomatidae. The record is from RNAcentral.